Long non-coding RNA from Hippocampus zosterae (dwarf seahorse), 861 nucleotides. RefSeq lists it as uncharacterized. The transcript is spliced from 2 exons. NCBI's taxonomy places the organism in Eukaryota, Metazoa, Chordata, Actinopteri, Syngnathiformes, Syngnathidae. The record is from RefSeq and is a predicted model, not a curated record.
GUGCUUCUUGCCUCCGUAGAAGGGUUUGGUGUGGAACACGAUGUUGGCGUUGUAGCCUGAUUUGGAGCACGAGAUGUUGCACUCCCCGCCCAACUCCACCCAGGGGACGGUCAAAAUGGACCUGCACAAACGGCUCAGAGGACGUUCUACUGUAUUUGGCGAUUGAAGACUACCACUCACUGGGUGGAUGAUGAGAGACCUGCUCAGCCACAAAAGACACAUUGUUGGGUGAAGACCCUGGAACCGGAACAUCUGAUAUUGUGUCCUGCACUGGAGCAGGGGAAGAUGACUGAAAACAGAAGACGGCACAUGAUAUAGACUGUAUAGGAGCCUCAAAGAAAGAGACAGAGAGAGAGCUUAGCUCACCACGUUGGUGGAGGGCUCCUCAGUCUUGCAAGGCAGAUCCCAGUGACAGAAGAAGACCUCUCCCAGAAUGGGGUUGUAAGGCUUCUUGGCUACCGAGCCUUUCCUGCCCGCGUGGAAGGCUGACAGGUACCAUUUGACCACUUGAACCAUGCGCUCACGAGGAUCUGGCUGCUCUGCGAUACUGUAGGUAUUCAAAGGAUUGCAUGACUGUGCAUACGCAGAAAACAACCUUGGCAACAAGAGGUACAGUUCAGUGAAAUUCAGCUCAGUCGGCAGACUUUAUGCCGUUGCUAGUCCACCCAAGCGUUAGUUGUGUUUCAACCUAUGAAAUGACCUGUCUUGCUCAGCCCUAUAGGUACUAUACUGCGGCUCGUGCACCAGUGGCCACAGAGUUGGAUGCUGAAUAUGCAAAUGAAUACAGAAUGCAAUGAUUAUUAAAAAUAACCAAUAUUGCAUUCACGUUGGAACAAAAUGGUUUUAAACUUGGUUUAACCU